UGGGGAAUCUUGCACAAUGGGCGAAAGCCUGAUGCAGCGACGCCGCGUGCGGGAUGAAGGCCUUCGGGUUGUAAACCGCUUUCAGCAGGGACGAGGCCGCAAGGUGACGGUACCUGCAGAAGAAGCCCCGGCUAACUACGUGCCAGCAGCCGCGGUAAUACGUAGGGGGCAAGCGUUAUCCGGAUUCAUUGGGCGUAAAGCGCGCGUAGGCGGUUUGUUAGGUCAGGAGUUAAAUCUGGGGGCUCAACCCCUAUCCGCUCCUGAUACCGGCAGGCUUGAGUCUGGUAGGGGAAGGCGGAAUUCCAAGUGUAGCGGUGAAAUGCGCAGAUAUUUGGAAGAACACCGGUGGCGAAAGCGGCUUUUUGGCCUGCAACUGACACUGAGGCUCGAAAGCGUGGGGAGCGAACAGG
RNAcentral lists this ribosomal RNA (410 nucleotides) under Verrucomicrobiota bacterium. RNAcentral describes it as "Verrucomicrobia bacterium partial 16S ribosomal RNA". It matches the Rfam family "Bacterial small subunit ribosomal RNA", at positions 355 to 776 of the family's 1533-position model. The record is from RNAcentral. Lineage: Bacteria; Pseudomonadati; Verrucomicrobiota.